GCACUGCCCCAGACCACACUGCAUGCAUUACAGUAGGAACAAAACAGAAAAGAUGAACUCGGUCCCCAUGCAAGGAUGGCGUGUGAUUGUGUGGGGCACCCCAUAUUUUA
RNAcentral lists this small nuclear RNA (110 nucleotides) under Mus caroli (Ryukyu mouse). RNAcentral describes it as "snRNA (MGP_CAROLIEiJ_G0035079.1)". Lineage: Eukaryota; Metazoa; Chordata; Mammalia; Rodentia; Muridae. The record is from RNAcentral.